Molecule: ribosomal RNA, 214 nt
Filed under: uncultured bacterium
Lineage: Bacteria
Description: partial 16S ribosomal RNA
Rfam family: Bacterial small subunit ribosomal RNA
Source: RNAcentral
AACCUGCCUUUCAGAGGGGGAGUAACAUCUGGAAACAGAUGCUAAUACCGCAUAAGAUUACAGUACCGCAUGAUACAGUGAUCAAAGGAGCAAUCCGCUGAAAGAUGGGCUCGCGUCCGAUUAGAUAGUUGGUGAGGUAACGGCUCACCAAGUCGACGAUCGGUAGCCGGACUGAGAGGUUGAACGGCCACAUUGGGACUGAGACACGGCCCAG